AACGAACGCUGGCGGCAGGCCUAACACAUGCAAGUCGAGCGCCCCGCAAGGGGAGCGGCGGACGGGUGAGUAACGCGUGGGAAUAUGCCCUUUGCUACGGAGUAGUCUCGGGAAACUGGGGGUAAUACCGUAUACGCCCUUUGGGGGAAAGAUUUAUCGGCGAAGGAUUAGCCCGCGUUGGAUUAGGUAGUUGGUGGGGUAAUGGCCUACCAAGCCGACGAUCCAUAGCUGGUUUGAGAGGAUGAUCAGCCACACUGGGACUGAGACACGGCCCAGACUCCUACGGGAGGCAGCAGUGGGGAAUCUUAGACAAUGGGGGCAACCCUGAUCUAGCCAUGCCGCGUGAGUGAUGAAGGCCUUAGGGUUGUAAAGCUCUUUCAGCUGGGAAGAUAAUGACGGUACCAGCAGAAGAAGCCCCGGCUAACUCCGUG
Molecule: ribosomal RNA, 431 nt
Filed under: uncultured bacterium
Lineage: Bacteria
Description: partial 16S ribosomal RNA
Rfam family: Bacterial small subunit ribosomal RNA
Source: RNAcentral